GAUAACAAGCAAUCAAUAUUGAGAGUAGAAAAGAUGAACAUAAUAACAUGAUUUUCUUUUGAUUUCUACUUCUUGGAUUCACUCAAUAUAUGCUGGAAAUUAUAGAAGAAUAGAGGAAAUACAUAUCUUCUGGCUGUAGUGUUUGGUGGGCUAGCCAAUGAACUUCGAACACAAUUUUAACUCUAGAUCUUUAUCUUUAGUGAGAAUGAGAGAGGAAGAGAUGGGAAAAUGAGAGAGGAAGGGAGAGUUUAAAUAGAGAAGGAGAAGAAAAUGAAAGGUUUGGAGGGAAAAUGAAAGGGUUCUUUGAGUUUUAAAACGUUAGGGAGUUACAAAACCGUUUUAAGGGUACAUCAUCCAUUGGUUAGCUUUACAUUGGCUAUCAACCUGCGACUACUUCCCUUUUAUAUCUAGAGUCGAAGUAUGCAAUAAAAGCAAAGCUCACGCAUGCCAUGUGAUUAGACCUUUUUUCAUUUAUCUGAUGAACGUUUUGUGUAUAUUAGGAGAAUAUAUGGAUACUAUGAUUACAAACUACUGGCUUUAGAUAACUUUAUUUAUCUAUCUUGAUACCAACAGGAGUUGUCGUACAAGGAAGAGGACAGUACUGACCAGUCUUCACUCACCUGCAUUGCUUGGUGGCUGAACCCUUUGCUGAUAUGGAAACAAAUUGUGACAAUAGAUCGUUUGGAUCAUUUAUUGGUGUAUAAAGUCCUGAUAUAAUAGAUGCAAUUUGAACCUGCUGCCUGAAAUGGUUCUAUUAGCACUCCUGUAUAAUGGCAAAUCAGUUAUUCUGCUUUUCUUUAUCAUAGGAAAUGUUCGGCGAUUUAGGUGACCUAUUAUAUACAAGUACAGGUUUUGAUUCCUUCUCCUGCAGCCUGCUGGGGAAUAUACUGGAUCGAUGGUUAUUCGUGCAUAUCAUAUGGGUCGAGGAGGACCUGGUAUGGUUGCAAAUUUUGAUCCUCAAAAACACAUUGGGGGACCUGCUGUCCCUGUGGAUUCUGCACUUCAGCAGCCAUUAGGCAUGCCAGCGAUGACUGCUGCAGCCGUUAUGGCUAGAGCUCCUGGAGCUGCUCAGAGUGGCAGCUCACUCGGUCAGUCUGGAGUAGAUCCUUUAACACUAUAUAUGUCCACAACAACAUAGCCAGUGUAAUCCCACAAGUAUGUGAACCUCGGGGAUAACUGCUUGACUUGAUUAUUGUAAUUUUGGUGAUAAGCAAUAUGUAAGCCAACUGCUGCUAGCAAUUCCAAAUUUGUCAAAGCUCUUUUCCAGUCAAGGGGUGACCAUCACCGCAAUGUAUGCAUCAUUCCUGUAUCAGCACAUGGAACAACUCCUACAAGUGUUGCAAUGUGUGGGAUAAAAAUUGUUGUUGUUGGGAUGGAUGCAAAAGGAAACUGAAGCAAAUAAGGAUAAACUUGCUGCUCUCAUGGUUACAUAUCCAUCAACACAUGGAGUGUAUGAGGAAGGGAUUGAUGAGAUAUGUAAGAUAAUCCAUGACAAUGGUGGUCAGGUGUGUACAUGGAUGGAGUUAACAUGAAUGCACAGGUGUUCAAAAUAAAUAAGUAGAUGAAGAAAGAAGUGAUGAAGCAGUUGACCUUAUUACCUGAGAAGAUUUUUGAAUUGUUGAUAGAUGCCUUACUAUCGAUCUUUUUGAUAUUGAAUUUAGUGAGACUUG
Long non-coding RNA from Capsicum annuum, 1670 nucleotides. RefSeq lists it as uncharacterized. The record is from RefSeq and is a predicted model, not a curated record. The transcript is spliced from 7 exons. Lineage: Eukaryota; Viridiplantae; Streptophyta; Magnoliopsida; Solanales; Solanaceae.